UCCCAUCCAUCCCCUCACUCACCGCCGCCGCUCAUUCCAAAUCCUCCUCGAUUUCCUCAGCCACCCAACCAGCCUCAACGUUCCCGAUCCACUCCACCCGAGCCAGCCCGCAGUACCACCUACCUCGCUCGAUCUGUGCGCUUGCCCAACCGGCGCUGCAGCUCUCCACCUGCUCGAUCCAAGGAAAGGAGAUCCUCUCCCGAAGCCCCUGUCUCUUCUCUCGCCCAUCCCUAACCUCUCUCUCAUGCCCCGUUGCCUCUCCCUCUGUGUACCAGGAACAUCCAUGGUGGCUACAGCUCCCUCGCCGCCGUUUGCACCAGGUCCAACCGGGAGACGGACGGAUCCAUCCUCCCGCGUCCACCCCGCAUCUCGUUCAUCCCAGAGCACUCCUGCUACGCCAAGUCCACAAGAUCCAUAGCUGCAGGGAACGAGGCGCACUCCGCCCCGAUUGCAUGGACCCCGGCCGGAUCGACGCAGUCCGCCGCUGUCCUGCUUCCCUAGCUCGGGCACGAGCGCCCCGUCUUCCUCCUCGUUGCGCGGAUCCAGGAGGAGCCCCCGCCAGCACCGCCGCUCCUCUGCGCCCUCGCUGCACCAAGCCGGCAUGUACGCCGAUGCCUGGAGCUCCAAGUCUGUGGCCGCCGCCUUGCCUCGUCGCCGGAGUCCCGCUCCUCUGCGUCGCGCCUUCAUUGACCCAGCCGAGCGCCUCCUCUGUUGAAUUGCGACCUCGACGCUCUGCUGACCCUGUCGUCUCGCCAAGGCCGGCUUCUGACGCCCGUUCCUCUGCAUCGAGUGAGGCAGUUCCAUCCAGAUCGAUCCUGCACAGUCAACGCAGCGCAGCGCAGCGUCAAGCCCCAACCGCAGGCCCAGCGCGCCUAAGCCGGCCUGCUCGCUAGGCCGCCGCCAGCUUCCCUCGCUGACUGGGCUUGGCCCUCUGGUGAGAAGCCCAGUCCGCCCGAGUUGCAGCCCUUUUACUGUUUUUUUACAGAUCUGCGAAUUUAGUUUUUUUCAGAGAGACCUGUUUUACAGAAAACCCCCUGUUGUUUAGACAUUUAAUAACUCACAAACGGUGCCUCAUAUUAAAACAAAUUAUAUAUGUAAAAUGCUUAGAAUCUUGUGUAGAUUAAUAAUUUGCAACUUUCAUCUAUGUUUAAAAUUUUUAAACUACUGUUUGUUUAAAUUUGCUUAAACAACUUGUUAAAAUGAUUUAAUUCAUAACUAAUUAACCGUAUCUCGGAUUUAAACAAACUUUAUAUGUAAAUGGGGUAGAAAAAUGCCUAGUUUAACAUGGUGGCAUCACUUUUCAUGUUUAACAACUAUAAAAUAUGGUUUAGGGCAAAACAGUACCAAACCUAAUAUAUGCAUAAGAGGAUUUUUCCGGACUUGUUGUUUGUUGUUCUGGCCUCAUUUAAACUUGCCUAGAUGGGUAGUUUUCACAUGCUUCACCUCUUGCCAUGUUUAACAUCAUUUAAUAUUGGUGGGUACAUAACCGAGAGAGAACUAAAUAAUGGAUAUGGUGUUCCGUCAAUAUGCAACCCGUUGCAUAUUGAGCUCCACUUAAUUUGUAGUUUUGGUUGUUGCACUUUGCCAUGUCAUGCAUAUUUAAACCGGACAUGCAUCAUAUUUGGUUGUGCAUCAUGCCAUGCUUAUGUGUUGGUUGUUUACUAUGUUGUUUGCUUCUUUCCGGUGUUGCUUCUUCGGGUUAGUUCCGUUAACGUCGCGUUUGUGAGGAUCCGUUCGACCUCGUCCAUUUGUCUUCUUCAUGGACUCGUUCUUCUUCCUUGCGGGAUCUCAGGCAAGAUGACCAUACCCUCGAAAUCACUUCUAUCUUUGCUUGCUAGUUGCUCGCUCUUUUGCUAUUCAUAUGCUGUGAUACCUACCACUUGCUUAUCAUGCCUCCCAUAUUGUUAAAUCAAGCCUCUAACCCACCUUGUCCUAGCAAACUGUUGUUUGUCUAUGUUACCGCUUUGCUCAGCCCCUCUUAUAGCGUUGUUAGUUGCAGGUGAAGAUUGAAGUUUGUUCCUUGUUGGAACAUGGAGAUGCUGUUCCUUGUCGGAACAUGUUUAUUUGUUGGGAUAUCACAAUAUCUCUUAUUUAAUUAAUGCCUCUAUAUACUUGGUAAAGGGUGGAAGGCUCGGCCUUAUGCCUGGUGUUUUGUUCCACACUUGCCGCCCUAGUUUCCGUCAUAUCGGUGUUAUGUUCCCGGAUUUUGCGUUCCUUACGCGGUUGGGUUAUAAUGGGAACCCCUUGACAGUUCGCCUUGAAUAAAACUCCUCCAGCAAGGCCCAACAUUGGUUUUACCAUUUGCCACCUAGCCUUUUUCUUUCCCAUGGGUCGGCCAGCCCAAGGGUCAUCUUAUUUUAACCCCCCCGGGCCAGUGCUUCUCUAAGUGUUGGUCCAACCCAGAGCACCGUGCGGGGCCGUCCCUUGGCAACUUGGGUUACGUUGGCUCCCGUAUGCUUAGCUUAUCCGGUGUGCCCUGAGAACGAGAUAUGUGCAGCUCCUAUCGGGAUUUGUCGGCACAGCGGGUGGUCUUGCUGGACUUGUUUUACCAUUGUCGAGGAUGUCUUGUAACCGGGAUUCCGAGUCUGAUUUGGUCUUCCCGCUAGAAGGAAUAUCCUUCGUUGACUGUGAGAUCUUGUGAUGGGCUAAGUUGGGACACCCCUGCAGGGUUAUGAACUUUCGAAAGCCAUGCCCGCGGUUAUGGGCAAAUGGGAAUUUGUUAAUGUCCGGUUGUAGAAAACCUGAAGUUGAUCUUAAUUAAAAUGCACCAACCGCGUGUGUAACCGUGAUGGUCUCUUCUCGGCGGAGUCCGGGAAGUGAACACGGUGUUGGAGUAAUGCUUGACGUAGGUUGUUCUAGGAUCACUUAUUGAUCAUAGUUUCUCGAUCAUGCUUUGCCUUCUCUUCUCGCUCUCAUUUGCGUAUGUUUAGCCACUAAAUAUGCUAGUCGCUUGCUGCAGGUCCACCUCAUACUUUUACCUUACCCAUAAGCUUAAAUAGUCUUGAUCGCGAGGGUGUGAGAUUGCUGAGUCCCCGUGGCUCACAGAUACUUCCAAAACCAGCUUGCAGGUGCCGAUGAGACCGUGCAGAUGACGCAACCAAGCUCAAGGAGGAGUUCGAUGAAGAUCUUGUCCUUUGUGUUGUUUCGUUCUAGUUGAUCAGUAGUGGAGCCCAGUUGGGGUCGAUCGGGGAUCUGUGUAGCUUUUGGGGUAGUCUUCUUUUAUUUUGGCUCCGUAGUCGGGCCUUGAUUGUAACUGGUUGAUGUAAUGCUUUAUUCAUGUAAUUGUGUGAAGUGGUGAUUGUAAGCCAACUAUGUAUCUCUUUUCCCUUAUUUAUUACAUGAGUUGUGUGAAGAUUACCUCACUUGCGACAUUGCUUUCAAUGCGGUUAUGCCUCUAAGUCGUGCUUCGAUACGUGGGAGAUAUAGCCGCAUCGAGGGUGUUUCAAGUUGGUAAUCAGAGCCUUCCCCGACCUUAGGAGCCCCAUUGCUUGAUCGUAUUAGCGGACGUUGUUAAGUCUAGAAAAAUGUUUUGAGUCUUUUAAGAAUUAUAUAUCGGAGAGUUUAGGAAUUCUUUUUACUCCACAGUCCCUUCAUCGCUCUGGUAAGGCAUCCUGACAUAGAGUUUUGACUCUUCUCUUCUCAAAUUUCACUAAAAAAAAUUUAGGAUCACGCGGGUAUCUUGGAAUCGUUCCGAUGGUUUUGUGACGAGAACAUUGUUCUUGGUGCCUCCUGACAUUUAGGGCUUGUGGCAGUGUCCCGGGGAGUUGAGCUCUGAGGUGUUGUCGUCACAAUUUUAUCGUUGCAGUUCUGGAAUACCUGAGAUAGUUUCGCCGACAUUGAAAAUCUCUUUUAUGCAGUUGUUGGUGAGAUAACCUCGACGCCACCCAGUACUGGGGCGGGAGUUCGGGAGUAUUGCCAUAACUUGUAUAACGGAUGCUUUUCGAAGGUUGAGGUAGACGAUUUCGAAGGUUUCUUGGUUAUGUGUUGAAGGAUGGAUACAGCUGGAUCUAGGAUUUGCUAGUUUUGGGUGAGAUAUUAUGCUUCCCCUGUAUCCCCAACACCUGAUUGCAUAACCGGAAAGUUUCUGGAGUUUAUAAGUGGGAAAUCAAGUAGCUCUUAGGAUAUCUUUCCGACAGAUGUAUGAUAUGAAAUUGGGGUUCGACGUCUAGUGGUCCGCCUAUUCACGGUCGAUUUUACAGUGGUCUCGUUGUGUCUUAAAGAGUCCUUGGCUAUGCCGACUCGGGGACACCUCGUAUGUCAUGUGCACUGCCUUGUACAUGAUGGUGCUGUACGAUCGAGCCCGUGUAGGACCCACCACGAAAACUUCGGAUGAAAUCUCUAUCAUAUGUUUGUUCCGGCUGAUUCUGCAAGCCAAUCAUUGUUUUGUUUUGAGUUGUGGUAUUCGAGUUGCUUCGAAGUCAAGUGUUGAUUCCAUGCUUUUUCCUAAGUGAUGUUCUCAUAUUCCUAUGUGAAUACUAAUCCUUCAUGAUAAUCGAGAUUGUCAUGUCAAUCAUUUUCAACCGGUGCGAUUCUCUUCAAGAUGAUCCUAUCAUUUUUCCUAUUUGCAAUAUCCAAUCUCAGUUCUUCCCAACGGUGUUUGUUUCAUCCAUUCCAAAUUGUCUUUGUUUUCCCGCCCUCCCUCCCUUGUUUCUUCAAGGACUCGGAUUUCUUUAUCAAAUAUCCAUCUUAUGGAUGUGAAGACUCUUCAUUCUUGCCUUUCAACGUUCUUACCCGGGGAUUCUCUUGAAGAUGUUCUACUCGUUCAUCACUCUCCAUUCUUUUCCUUUUCUGGUGGAACCAAUCCAAGCUUUCAGUGUUGAUCACAUCCUUUCCUCAUUUCAAUGCUUUCCCAUGCCGAUGCUAUUCUUAAUCAUCCACUUCUCACUAUUCAAUUGUUCCGGAGUGCUCAAGAUAUCUCGAAGAUUCGUGUUUCCACUCUCCUUCCGUUCAAGCUCUUUCGAGGAUGCUAUAUCUUACAAGCUAUUUAACUCAACCGGUGAAAUAUCCUCUUCAAGCAAUCGUUUAACAGUGUUUCUUUUGAGUGGGUCCUAACCCACAGGUCUUUUUCGAAGAUCUUACCUGACUCUUCUUAUUUUACCGGAGCUAUUCUCAAAUCUUUCAAAGUUUAACGUAGGAAUGAAUUAUCAUCAGUCAUAUGUAUUUCUCCAAGAUCUUUCAAAUUCUUUUAUCGUUGGUUCAACCUUUCCAUUUUUCAUCCCGGAGUAUCUCAACAAUUUGGUGGUGUUUCUCAUCGUCAUUCUCAGAUAUUGAAGACCGAAGAAGAGUUCCUCUUUAAUCUUGCUCCAUUCUCUUCAAGAUUCAUGAUUCUAGCUUGUUGCUAUCCUCUCAUAUUUGUUUUCGAUUGCGAGAAUUCUUUUCACCCAUCCGGAGCAAUUCAGGAGUCUUUUCAGUUUGAUUCUCCGCAGCCCAUCAUCUCAGAAUUAUUCUUUCUAGUUUUCAAUUCUCGUUCUUUAAAUCUUAUCGGUGCUUCGCUCAAAUAUCCUCUAAUCAGCUCGUGAUCUAUUCGUUCUCUUGUAUCUAAACUCCUUCAAGUAUCUUCAGUCGUUUUCCAAUUCUUCCCGAUGAGUUGUGCAUUUGCUACAUUCAGUUCCAAUUCUUAUGGUGGUUCGUUCAAGAUCCUUCUUUAUACGUUAUUGUAUCAAUUCACUCGUUCUUUCCAAUUUUACCGGUGGUUCGUAGAAGACCUUCUCAAGGUUGCGCUAUAUCUAUCUUAAUCCUUUCUACGAGAAUAAGUAGUAUGCCAAAUCCAUUGUUUGUCAUCAAUUUAAUUGGUGAAGGAUGAGCAUAAUGUAAUUCUUAUUUUUGUGUCAUCGAGUGAAUUCAAUUCCUUAUUCCGGAGGCUCUUCAAAUUCUCGGUUUCAUUUGAUUCAUCUUUCUUUUCCCGGAGUUCCAAGCUCUCUCAAUUUUUUCAUCAUGAAGAUCCAUCUAAAUCAUUGCAAGGCUUCAACCUUAUUCUUUUCAUCCUUCAUUUCGUUUGUUCAUUCUUUUUUUACCGGAGUUCUUCAUGGAGGUUCUACAUGACGGUUCAUCAAGGAUUUAAUUCCUUCUCCAAGUGUUCAUCAAGAUUCUUUUCAGAGGAGCUCAAUCAUUCUUCAUUUGGCAAUCCGGAGUGCAAUUCUUUCUACCGUAUCAUUGGAAGUGGUAUUAUGUCAUUCUUGAUAAUUUUAGUUCAUGUUUCAUGAUUCACAUGUUGUUAAGAAUGAUGUAUUUUAAAUCCACCAAUCUUUUCGUUCGAGUUAGCUUGCGUCAUGUUUCACCUAAAGCCUUCCCUAAGGAUUUUCCUAGUGUGAGGCGUAUAUUUGACCCAAGUUUUUCUUUUGUCCUCCCGGUGAAAUAGUUUCUCGUCUCCUUGUUCUUAUCAAUCCAAUCUUGUUUUCGUUAGUGGCAGAAGUUCACUUCAGUGUUGAGAAGUUUUCCAUAAGCCCACUACAAGCUUAUUCGUUUCGUUGUUGGUUUUCCAACAACUCCGUUAUAAUUUUCUUGGAAGGGUGUUUUCCAAGCUCAAUUGUUGGCAGAAGUUGUCAUUUUCUUCUCAAUUCUUUCAUUUCCAAACGAUCUAGCUUCUAUUCUUUCUCCCGGAGGCUUUGUGAUGUUGCUCUUUUCAAUCAUCAUCUUGGAUUGCGAGGAUUGUUUUGUUUUCAUGCUUAUCAAUUUAACCGGAGUGUGUGCCCUCUGCUCAAGUUCUUCAUUUUAUUAAGCCCUGCAUAUCUUUCCAACCGGAGUGCUGUUCGAAUUUCUUCUUCCUUGUUCCUUUUCCUAACGGAUUGUUUUCAACUUCGUUCAUCUCUGUUGUAUUCUUUUCUCGUAAUGACUUAACCUUUCCAAGGUUCUUUGGUCUCACUCGUUUGUCAAAGAAGCAACUUAGUUUUAUCUCUUCUCUUUCUCUUCCGUUUUUCCCUCCGGUGCCAUUCUAGAUCUCGGGACGAGAUCCUCUCGUAGUGGUGGAGUGUUGUAACGCCCCGAGACCGUUGCGCCAGGUGUCUUCCAGUUAUUCGCCGGCGUUGCCAUGUCAUUUUCUCGCGUGUUGCAUUUCAUCAUGUCAUCAUGUGCAUUGCGUCAUCAUGUUUUCAAAACCUGCAUCCGUCCAGGUUCCCCCAGUGCCAUCCGUUGUCAGUUCUGAGCCCAGACACACUUGCACGCGCCCGCGGCACGUCCGAAAUAUUAUUUUAUAAGUGUCCGAAAAAUGUUCUCGGAAUGGGUUGAAAGUUGGCAUGUGGUGUUGUUAUGUUGUAGGUAGACCAUCUGCCAAGUUUCAUCGCAUUUGGAGUUCGUUUGAUAGCCCAACGGAUAACUAUAACGACAUUAUAGUCGGUCUAACGUCGGAUGUUUUCGGUCUCCAGAAACUGUCGCCGGGUCUCUCUCUCUCUUCUCUUCUCUCAGCCCAAAGCUUCUGCACAGUCCGCUGACAACCGCCAGACCCCGAAACCCUCUCUGCACAGUGCUUCGAAUCCCUCACGCGCGCGUCCGGAACUUCCCGGGACCCGACCCGGGCAGUCGUCGCCGUUGGGUCCGGAUCAUCCCCAAACAUCUACAAAAUGUCUCCGUUUUGUUAAUUGGACUUCCUAACCAAUUAAUUCUCGACCGCCUGAUUACGAUCGGACGGACCGAAUACCCCCUUACCCUAUUUCCCCUACCUAUAUAAACAACCUAACCCUAAAAUCUCGGACGGCUGUCCCAUCCAUCCCCUCACUCGCCGCCGCCGCUCAUUCCAAAUCCUCCUCGAUUUCCUCAGCCACCCAACCAGCCUCCACCUUACCGAUCCACUCCACCCGAGCCAACCCGUAGUACCACCUACCUCGCUCGAUCUGUGCGCUUGCCCAACCGGCGCUGCAGCUCUCCACCUGCUCGAUCCAAGGAAAGGAGAUCCUCUCCCGAAGCCCCUGUCUCUUCUCUCGCCCGUCCCUAACCUCUCUCUCAUGCC
This 7942-nucleotide long non-coding RNA is filed under the name Triticum aestivum (bread wheat). Its description in RNAcentral is "long non-coding RNA (TAES_LNC025494)". The record is from RNAcentral. Lineage: Eukaryota; Viridiplantae; Streptophyta; Magnoliopsida; Poales; Poaceae.